RNAcentral lists this long non-coding RNA (320 nucleotides) under Sus scrofa (pig). Its description in RNAcentral is "lncRNA (ENSSSCG00070001171.1)". The record is from RNAcentral. Lineage: Eukaryota; Metazoa; Chordata; Mammalia; Artiodactyla; Suidae.
CUGUUGUCAGACCCCAAACAAUCUCCUUCAGCUGAUCAUGUCCUGCUGAUGAAAAGCAACUGCUGACUAAAAUCCUUCCCUGUGCAUCUCCAGAGUCUUCCUGUGACCUCGGGGAGUGGGUCUGGGCCUGGAACGGCCCUGUGGAAUGUCAGAGAAGAGCUCUUCUCAGCUCUAAGCUGGAUCCAAGAGAGAAGAAGCCAAACUUCUGUUGCAAUAUGGCUCUGGGCAUUGCCUCCUUUCUCAGACACCUUGUUUCUUUGCUCUGCUAUACAGAAUGCAGGUAACCAGAAAAGGUCCAGCACACCAUUAAAUUUGCAUUA